UUGCUGGUUUAUGGCAUUUUGAUGCCUUUUCUUAUAAAUUAAAUAUUCAAACUAUUGCCGAGGAAAAAAAACGUAAUGGUUAAGGUGUUUAUAAAGUUGACACUAGGCAGAAGAAAGAAAUUCAUCUGCUACCUUUUAUACAAUAAACUAUCGCUUUUUGUUACAUUUUCAUUUGUUAUUUUCUUAAUUUUUCUUUUUUUAUUGUUGAUUUUGCAUAUUUUUGCAUAUUUUCAUCGAUAUUAUAUUUUAACUUAAAAGGUGAUUGUUGCAUAAUUGUAAGUAUUGAUGAUUGGUAGGCAAGGGGAUUUAAUAAACUAUCUAGAUACUGUUUUGAUCGAUAUCAUAUUUAAAAUAUGGCUCAUGGAUGAUGAUUGGUGUAUGGUUGUUCUGUGCUUUGAUAUACUAUAUUUAGCUAUAGCAUAAAUAUUUUCCCAAAAAAAAAAAGGUUGAUCCGAGCACUUUUCUCAUUACAGGUAACAUUUUUCCAACACUUCCACAUCGCAGUCGUCCCAGAUUUGAGCAUUACAGGUUAGUAUUGAUGUAGUAGGUUCUGUUGUUUCCCAAAUGAAUAUGGUUUUGUUUGUAUGUUUGUAAUGCUCAUUAAAGCUUUUGUUUGUAUGGUUAUGGUU
Molecule: long non-coding RNA, 629 nt
Filed under: Gossypium barbadense (sea-island cotton)
Lineage: Eukaryota; Viridiplantae; Streptophyta; Magnoliopsida; Malvales; Malvaceae
Description: long non-coding RNA (GBAR_LNC006340)
Source: RNAcentral